This 207-nucleotide ribosomal RNA is filed under the name uncultured bacterium. RNAcentral's name for it is "partial 16S ribosomal RNA". It matches the Rfam family "Bacterial small subunit ribosomal RNA", at positions 568 to 774 of the family's 1533-position model. The record is from RNAcentral.
AGCGCAGGCGGGAAGGCAAGUUGGAAGUGAAAUCUAUGGGCUCAACCCAUAAACUGCUUUCAAAACUGUUUUUCUUGAGUAGUGCAGAGGUAGGCGGAAUUCCCGGUGUAGCGGUGGAAUGCGUAGAUAUCGGGAGGAACACCAGUGGCGAAGGCGGCCUACUGGGCACCAACUGACGCUGAGGCUCGAAAGCUAGGGUAGGCAACG